GAGGAGGUGGUGGUGGUGGUGGUGGUGGGGAGGGGGUGGGUGGUGUGGUGGCUGCGGUCCCCCCAGCUUGGUGCCGAUGCCAGCAAUGCUGUUGAGGGUGGCAAUGGAGACGGCGCCGAUGCAGUGGUUGGUGUAUGUCUUGGAGAGCUUGGCCGCCUUGGAGAGCAUCUGCAUGCGGGUGCCCAGGAGGUUCUUGCCGAUGGCCUUGUUCUCGUACCAGGUGAUGUCACCCUCGCUGCAGUGGUCCCGCGGGCGCUGGAAGAAGGCCUUGCAGAGGGGGUUGCGCUUGGAGAGGUACUUGACGAAGCUGGCGUAGGGGCAGAACUCGGUGCCGGUCUCGUACAUGCGGGGCAGGUUCUCCUCGUCGCUGCUCUCCGCCCGCUUCUUGCUCCAGGAGGACGAGCGCGACUUGUGGUAGGGCCCCAGCGCCUUGAAGUAGACGAACUUGCGUCCGUCCUCGUCCACGGCCAGCCCGAAGGAGUCCUCCUCCAGCUCCCGCUGGUUCUCCCGGCCCCGGGUGCAGAAGUACAUGCAGGUCUCGAACCAGACCUUGUUGAGGAGCCCGAAGGGGCUCUGGGUGCUGAAGACGCUGCAGGUGUAGAGCUUGCGCAGGUCGGCGCGGGUGAUGGCCUGCUUCUGCACCACCGGCCCGGCGCCCUGCUCCUCCAGCUUGCGGAUGACGGCGGCCAGGGUGAGGUUGGCGGCGCGGAGCUCGGGGUCCUUGGUGAGGUCGAGGGUGCGGCAGUAGGGCGGCUCGUUGAGGUAGCGGUUGAGGGAGCUGCGGAUGCUGAUGAGGGAGGACUUGGAGUAGAGCUGCCCGCUCUUGGAGCGCGCCUCGGCGUAGAAGGAGCGCAGGACGCGGCAGAGCGCCCCCUUGUCCAUCGUCUCGAAGUCGGGGCUCUGCGCCUUCUCGCUCAGGUACUCGCGGAAGAUGCGCACGGCGUAGCGGGUGGCCAGCCGCGUGUUCUCGCUCAGCCGCGCCCGCUCCGGCCGCUGCAGCAGCAGGGCCGCCUCCAGCUCCGCGUCCUCCGCCGCCCCCCCCGGGGCCGCCGCCGCCGCCGC
This 1062-nucleotide long non-coding RNA is filed under the name Aquila chrysaetos chrysaetos. RNAcentral's name for it is "lncRNA (ENSACCG00020005543.1)". The record is from RNAcentral. Lineage: Eukaryota; Metazoa; Chordata; Aves; Accipitriformes; Accipitridae.